UUUCUUGUGAGUGCUUAACUGCCUGAAGAGAGAGUCCAGAGGGGCUGUGAAAUCAGACCCUGGAGGCUUCUCUGUAGUGCCAUGCUAAUCAGGGUUAUUUUACUCCCUGAGACUUCAUUUCUGCUUCCAGGAGUUGGUGGCAAAAUAAGCUUUCAUUUUCUCACAACAGCACAUUCCCAGGAAAGGGCCCUUGUCCUGAAGUCCUCUGUGACAUUCUGUCCUUGGUCUCACAGGUGGCUCAACUGUCUUCCCAGAUCCCCCAGGAUUGCGCCCCUCCUUAAUCAAAGGGCUGGUCAGUGAAUGUACCCAGGUCAUUAAUUGCGUGGAGCUCGGGCAGUUUGUGCACUGUCCUCCCCUUCUUCAGUUCUCCUGGGUCCAUCCCUCAUCAGCUAAGCUAUGUGAAGUAGCUUAAUUGACAUUGCAACAUCGCACAUCACACCGAGUGCGUGUGAACUGCCGACUAGAUAAAGCCUGACGUGACUGGACACUGGUGGGCAGACAGCCCCCAGAACCACAGGCGGUUCCAGAUGUUUUUGUCGAGGCUGGCACAGUUCCAGUCACUUCUGAGCUGGCCUUUCCAGUUUCUCCAGGUCUCAACUCCACGCACCGGGUGUUGGCAGGCGCGGGGAAAAUAUUCCUCAGGCUUUGAUCUCCAUCUCUGCUGCGGGCCCUGUUCCGUUGACCUCAGCCACGUCGCUGCCCUCCCGUGUAUAAGAAAUCCGCCAAGAUGGCGCCCCUGGCCAAUACUUCCAGACCGCCGACGGAGACGCUCAUGGCACGGCCGCACUCUGCAGUGUUCUGUGGGUCGGGAAAGCUCAUAAGUUGUUAUUUGCCUCCUCCCCCAGUAAGGAGGGAACUUGCUGGCAAACCUCAAGGCAGAGUUAACUGGAAGAGUGAAACGUGUCACCGUAACAGAAGCAACACUCACAUCACCCUAUUCUUCUCAUAUUCACUGCAGACUUGAUUGUUAUGAUCUGGGUAAAAAUGCUGGUCAUCAAAGCGUCUGUUCCCAAAUCAAUGCCUGUGAUUCAUAACAGGUCUGGGAGCUGAUACCACAACCUCAUGGUCUGGAAACCCCUGUCAUUGUAACUAAGCAAGGUUCAAGUUUACAAGAGAGUAUAAAGUAUAUAGUUCCCACUGGAG
Long non-coding RNA from Bos taurus (domestic cattle), 1143 nucleotides. Lineage: Eukaryota; Metazoa; Chordata; Mammalia; Artiodactyla; Bovidae. The record is from Ensembl.